Long non-coding RNA from Temnothorax curvispinosus, 1905 nucleotides. RefSeq lists it as uncharacterized. Lineage: Eukaryota; Metazoa; Arthropoda; Insecta; Hymenoptera; Formicidae. The transcript has 2 exons. The record is from RefSeq and is a predicted model, not a curated record.
UAGGAGAUAGUGUGCGUGAGAUGUUAUGACGCUGAUGACGCAUCCACGGAUAUUGUCGUCGGGAAUCUAAGAAGCCGAGAUUUCAGGAAAUAAGACUGAUCGGUACACAUGUAUGCAUGGCCUCUGAUUUUUUAUGUUUUGCUUUCGUUCAUACGGAAGGAGAGAACUCCAAAAAGACUUCCAGGAUCGAUCCUGGAACUUGUAUUAUUUAUCAGCUGUAUAAAUAAUGUUUGGAGACGCGUCAAGCGUUAGAAAACCCACCAUGGAAACAGUAGGUACUAUAACAAUUUAUUUCCCAUUUAUCAUCUUUUUAGUGAAGAAGGAAAAAGAUUUUCCAUUUAUUCUUACUGUAGUAUUCGUCGGGAAAAAUCAGCCGACGUCAUCAGUAUUCCGAGUGUUCCGAGUUUUCCUCGUUUCCGGGAUUACCAGAGGUUGACAAUGAAUCACGAAUGUCACGAUUUUGCGUUAUUUAAUGUCGUAAAUCGAUGCCAAUUAAAUGCGUCGUUUUGAAUUACUAAAAAUCAAUAAAAAUUGAAACCUUAUUGUUUCAUUUACUCCCCAAUGUCCAUUUCUACUGCGAUCUCAAAUUCUUAGAAUCAGGAAAAGAUAGUAAAGAUAAGUUAAGCCGAGAUUAAAAUUAAUCUACAUUGGUAGAAUUAAAUGAACAUAAUAUAGUAACUCCAACAAAAAACUCCGAUUAACGUAAUAAGCGAUUAUCUCGUCAAGUAACAUCUGUGUUAUUGUUUUGUUAACGCGAAGAGAAUAAAUAAUUUCUGCCGGUUUUAACCGCCGACUAAGUUAACCGGAAUUUCACCAAAGUUUAUUGCAAUAAAAUCGUCAUAUAAUUCCUUUGUACAUAGUUUCAUAUAUAUCCUCCGAAGAAACAAAUCGUUAACUGUGGGAGUUAAAAUCGACGAGACUAUAUGGUCUUUUUAUUUUCUCGCUCACCUGUUUCGUUCAUUUUGCCGUCUUUACUUAAUUGCCAUUGUGCCAACCUAACGAUUACGUAAUCGCUUUGCUUAAUUGCAGUUAUUUGCAUUUCGCUUAUCUUCUCGCGAAAGACAACAGCUUGUCGCGCAUUAUUAUCGUGCAUUACAGUUAUAUCACACUUUGUACUGGUUUAUACUACUUGAUGAUUAGACUUGAUGGAUAUAUAUAUUGUAAUUUUUCCCUAUUUUCUACAGAAAAACAAAUAAGUGGAUCAACAUCGCAAUCGCAUAUAUGUAUACGUGUCAUUAUCGCGCUACUUAUUUUAUCGCGAUUAAAACUUUCUUUCACUUCAUACUCCUAAAAUUUCCACACUCUAUUGUAGUAAUAAUUGUGUAAUAUUUUCUUAUCUGUUAAAAAUUCUGUCACCUAUAUUAAUUGUUUAGUAAUCCCUUACAUCUUUCGCUGUACAACGGGAUAGCUAAUCAAUUGUGAAACUGUUUUUAUUAAUUAUCUCUACGUGAUAACUUACUUAUCGCAGCGUCUGUAUAAACGAUUUUAGUUUCAACGUCGAAUACCGAGAUAGACUGGAAAAAUGAAUCUGCUCAUCUUUAGUAUCUAAUCGUGGGACACUAAAAUAAUGCCAGUAGAGAUAUCGAGUUAUACGUGGCAAUCGUCAAGCAAUACAUUAUUUCUUCAUGUCAUCGGACAAAAUAUACUUUUUUUUUUAAAACCUCGCGCUUUUUAAGCGAAUAACUCGAUUUUGUUUCUUAUCUAGUUGAUAAUGAAUUACAGUCACUAUUUUCAUUUGUGGAUAUUUAAAGACAAUAGAAAAGUGUUUUAUUGCUUGCAAUAAAAUUUCCAAGCAAAUAUUGUGUCUCCAGAAGAAAGAUAUUCUCAAAGACGUCUAUCCUAAGACAUUCUGCUCAUAAUGUAAAUAAAAGAAAUAAAAUAAAGUGCUGGUCUUUGAAAUUGAAA